GCGAUCAUACCAGUACUAAUACACUAGAUCCCAUCAAACUUCGAAGUUAAGUGUGCUUGGAUGAGAGCAGUACUACGAUGGGUGGCCCUAUAACGACCACCCUUCUUACUACUACU
Molecule: ribosomal RNA, 116 nt
Filed under: Zingiber officinale
Lineage: Eukaryota; Viridiplantae; Streptophyta; Magnoliopsida; Zingiberales; Zingiberaceae
Source: RNAcentral